RNAcentral lists this ribosomal RNA (443 nucleotides) under uncultured bacterium. RNAcentral describes it as "partial 16S ribosomal RNA". It matches the Rfam family "Bacterial small subunit ribosomal RNA", at positions 338 to 795 of the family's 1533-position model. The record is from RNAcentral.
CCUACGGGUGGCAGCAGUGGGGAAUAUUGGGCAAUGGAGGCAACUCUGACCCAGCAACGCCGCGUGAAUGAUGAAGGUUUUCGGAUUGUAAAGUUCUGUGAUGGGGGAUGAACACAAUGAUGGUACCCUAAUAGCAAGCGACGGCUAACGACGUGCCAGCAGCCGCGGUAAUACGUAGGUGGCAAGCGUCAUCCGGUAUGACUGGGCGUAAAGGGGGCGUAGGUGGUUUAGUAAGUUAGCGGUGUAAUGCCGGGGCUCAACCUCGGCGCUGCCGCCAAAACUUUGAGACUAGAGUGCAGGAGAGGUAAGUGGAAUUCCUGGUGUAGCGGUGGAAUGCGUAGAUAUUAGGAGGAACAUCAGGGGCGAAGGCGAAUUACUGGACGGCAACUGACACUGAGGCACGAAAGCGUGGGGAGCAAACAGGAUUAGAUACCCUGGUAGUC